Molecule: non-coding RNA, 937 nt
Organism: Paramuricea clavata
Lineage: Eukaryota; Metazoa; Cnidaria; Anthozoa; Malacalcyonacea; Plexauridae
Source: the annotation of a GenBank genome assembly
ACCGGUUUCGUAUUACAUUUCGAUUCAAUUUUUCUAAUAUAAAUAUCUCGGCGAGUAUUUACCCCCCUUUGAAAUAAAUGCCACCAUUGAAAUCCUCACAAUAUAACCUUUCGAACGGGGGGUCAAGUGCCGUCAAAACAUUACACAAACCAAAACAAUCAUAUAUUUAUACUCACAGCUUCGCCAAACAUUCAAACGGGAAAAAGAGAAAAAGUUGAAUAUAUUCUAAAAUUUGGCGUCCUUUUCUGAAAGGAUAUAUGUGCAAAAUACUCUUUGUAUUCAAGCGCUUUAGUGUAGAAAGUUUCGUGUGAAUACGGCGAGUAGAAAUAUUUAUUUUGAAUUUUUCAAGGUAUCGGGUUUUACUCGCACGCACUUGUAUUACGUAAUACUUGGCCAAUAAGGAGCUCCCUUUAGCCGGGAUGACGUCAAACUCACGCGUAUGGGUGCACUUUGACCUGUAGAAGCCAUUUCUGGCAUUUCUAGAGUCACGCGAUACAAACUACGCAUUGUUUUGACGGUUUUUCGUCGUAUUUCCGGUUUGGGAUUAACGCAAAUUCGGGCAGAAAUGCAAAAUUCGGCAAGAAAACUCACGUUUUAACGCUAGAAGCUUGAAAAUAACACUAUACGUGUUAUUUUUAACUGCUUCAUUGACCAAGAAUACAAGAAUGAGCAUACGUCUCAAGGGGCCGAAGUUAUGUUCGGCGAAAGGUAUGUCUAUGUUUAUAAUUUGUUAGUAAUAUUGCGUAAUUUGAUCAUAUUUAAGCCCGUUUGACUUUCAAAGCUUAUAAAUCGCUACAAUGUAGCCAGUCACUAAAACUGUCGUUAUAAAUUAGUAUAUAUUUUUAUACUGAAUCGAAUGGCGGUAUUUUCAUCGACAUAGCGUGUAAUGAACCGAAGAUAUAAACGAAACAUCCGUAGAACGUGCACGUUCUACGCG